This is a long non-coding RNA of Cebus imitator (Panamanian white-faced capuchin), 1133 nucleotides long. RefSeq lists it as uncharacterized. The transcript is spliced from 2 exons. Lineage: Eukaryota; Metazoa; Chordata; Mammalia; Primates; Cebidae. The record is from RefSeq and is a predicted model, not a curated record.
AAACUUCACUGGCAGAAGUUUCUUUCCUAAGCCCACACCCGGAACUGGGAUGUCUGUAUGUGUGUUCCAGCCUUGCAAGAGAAUGGCAGGAGGUCCCUGGGCAGGCGCACGCCUUGAGUGGGGGAGGCUCAGGAUGGAAGCGCGCCCCUGACCUUGAAUGGCCCAAGGCCCAGAAUUCCUACCACGCCCCUGGCGUCCGAGAAGAAGCAGCUAACCUGACCUUACCUGCAGUGAGCCAGGUGGAGGUGUGGUGGAAGGGGAAAGCCGGCCUUCUGGCACAGCACGGAGAAAGACCCGAGGCUCCUGCGCAGGGAAAGCCGAGGUUGCCACCGCAGGCCUGGCACGACUAGGGCCGUGAUGCCCCGCCCGGCCCGACCCCCCGCGCGCACAGGUACCUGGAGACGAUUUCAACUGAAGUAAUGAAGGCAGUGUCGUGCUGUCGAGAGAAAGGUGGAUCCCAACAACAGGAAACUACCUAAAUCACCGACCAGUUCUGGUGCUGCCUGCGAGCAGGGCUGCCUCGCCCGCCGCCGCCGCCGCUGCCGCCGCCGCCGCUGCCGCUGCCACCACCGCCGCCACCACCGCCGCCAAGGAGAGAACCCUGCGAUCGCGCCCGGCCCAGUCCAGCCCCUAGACAACCUGAACCCGGCGCCUUGACGGAGUGCCCCAGGCGGCCGCAAAUGCGUCACAGGGGAAGCCUCAGGCCCCAGUAAGCCAACGUCAAGCCCGUUUGCCAACCUACAUGUCCAUGCCUGCAAGCCCUUCUCUUGGCCAAGGAAGAAAGGAAGAAAGAAAAAAGAAACGCAGGGGCCUGUAUCCCCUGAUUAAGCACAGCGUAGCACUCCAGGCAGACGUGCCCAGUGGCGGCUCCUUGCACCAUUGACCUCAGGCCAGACACCUCAGCGCCAACAAUGGGACCUCGGCCUUCCGGCUAGGUUUGCCCCAGGCUGGGCAGGAAACCAGCUCGCCGAGGACAGGGGCCAUUUCCAGCAGAGUGGGACCCCAAGACAGCAAACCAGCCCAGUCACGACUUGACACUUAGGACAAUAUCUAUCUCUAUAGAAUUUUAGCACGAUAUGGCUUUUUCCCCCAGAAAACAACAAAUAAACCAGCACCAAGCAAACACAAAGAAA